GCCGGGUGUGGUGGCACAUGCCUGUAGUCCCAGCUACUCAGGAAGCUGAGGUGGGAGGAUCACUUGAGUCGGGAGUUCUGGGCUGCCGUGUGCUCUGCCAGUCGGAUGUCCAUACCAAGUUUAGCAUCAAUAUGGUGACCUCCCAGGAGCAGGGGACCAACCAGGUUGCCUAAGGAAGGGUGAACUGACCCAGGCAGGAAACAGAGCAGGUCGGGGCCAGGGAUUUAGCUCAGCGGUUCGGUGGCCUGCCUUGCAAGCGCAAGGACCCAAGUUCAAUCCCUGGUACAAAAAAAAAACAAAACCAA
This is a non-coding RNA of Fukomys damarensis (Damara mole-rat), 305 nucleotides long. The record is from Rfam. Lineage: Eukaryota; Metazoa; Chordata; Mammalia; Rodentia; Bathyergidae.